Molecule: small RNA, 212 nt
Filed under: Arabidopsis thaliana (thale cress)
Lineage: Eukaryota; Viridiplantae; Streptophyta; Magnoliopsida; Brassicales; Brassicaceae
Description: ATSL213990
Source: RNAcentral
GAAUUGCAUUUUUCUCCACAACUAGAAAACAAUUAGGGGUAUCAAAAUGGGUCGAGAUUCAUGGGUCAACUCAACUCAACUCAACCCAUGAACCUUAAUGAAUUGAAAAUUUUGACUCAAAUGAAUUGAUAGAUCAAAUGAGUUAUUGGGUCAAUUGGUUUGAUGAAUAUAUUUACAUUUUGGAUAGUAUUUGUUGGGGGUUUACAAAAAAA